ACGGCAGACCGGCCCGAGACACUGACCCAGGAAGAA
Molecule: non-coding RNA, 36 nt
Filed under: Geobacter sulfurreducens PCA
Lineage: Bacteria; Pseudomonadati; Thermodesulfobacteriota; Desulfuromonadia; Geobacterales; Geobacteraceae
Source: RNAcentral